CAUGACGGGGUGCUUACCAUGCAAGUCGAACGGAGGUUAUUUUGAAACUUAGUGAUAGAUAACCUUAGUGGCGGACGGGUGAGUAACGCGUGGAUAACCUGCCUACAUGCCUGGGACAACACCGGGAAACUGGUGCUAAUACCGGAUACGCUCUUGUAUGCACAUGCAUAUAAGAGGAAAGGAGCAAUCCGCAUAUAGAUGGGUCCGCGUCCCAUUAGCUAGUUGGAGGUGUAAGAGACCCCCAAGGCGACGAUGGGUAGCCGGCCUGAGAGGGUGGACGGCCACACUGGAACUGAGACACGGUCCAGACUCCUACGGGAGGCAGCAGUGGGGAAUCUUCCGCAAUGGGCGAAAGCCUGACGGAGCAACGCCGCGUGAGUGAAGAAGGCCUUCGGGUCGUAAAACUCUGUCUUCAGGGAAGAAAAAAAUGACGGUACCUGAGGAGGAAGCCCCGGCUAACUACGUGCCAGCAGCCGCGGUAAAACGUAGGGGGCGAGCGUUGUCCGGAAUUACUGGGCGUAAAGGGCGCGUAGGCGGUCAUUUAAGUCAGAGGUGAAAACUACCGGCUCAACCGGUAGCCUGCCUUUGAAACUGGAUGACUUGAGGGCAGGAGAGGGGAGUGGAAUUCCCAGUGUAGCGGUGAAAUGCGUAGAUAUUGGGAGGAACACCAGUGGCGAAGGCGGCUCUCUGGCCUGUUUCUGACGCUGAGGCGCGAAAGCGUGGGGAGCGAACGGGAUUAGAUACCCCGGUAGUCCACGCCGUAACGAUGGGUGCUAGGUGUAGGAGGUAUCGACCCCUUCUGUGCGUAGCUAACGCAUAG
Molecule: ribosomal RNA, 820 nt
Filed under: uncultured Pelotomaculum sp.
Lineage: Bacteria; Bacillati; Bacillota; Clostridia; Eubacteriales; Desulfotomaculaceae
Description: bacterial SSU rRNA
Rfam family: Bacterial small subunit ribosomal RNA
Source: RNAcentral